Molecule: microRNA precursor, 92 nt
Filed under: Podarcis lilfordi (Lilford's wall lizard)
Lineage: Eukaryota; Metazoa; Chordata; Lepidosauria; Squamata; Lacertidae
Source: RNAcentral
GUGUGUGUGUGUGUGUGUGUGUGUGUGUAUACACACAGACAUAUAUGUACAUAUGUACAUGUUUGUGUGUACACACACACACACACACACAU